Molecule: long non-coding RNA, 317 nt
Organism: Motacilla alba alba
Lineage: Eukaryota; Metazoa; Chordata; Aves; Passeriformes; Motacillidae
Exons: 3
Source: RefSeq, a predicted model, not a curated record
CUGCUACACUGCCUGGUCAGGAGACUGUUCUGUUUCCCAUGUCCAGUAUUGCCUGGGGAGAGGGGAUAUGAGCAAGCCGUGGGAGCCGUGGAACAGGAGGCAGAGAAGACUGUGUAAUGAAGGGAGACCAAGAAGAACACUGCUCCAUUGAUUACUAUCAAGCCAUGAGAAUACUGAACUUCAGUCGUCACUGGGGAAGUUCACCUGACAUUCUCUCAGCUCUGGGUUUAUCUGCAUUGACAGGACAAUAAAAAUUCUUGUCUGUCACUCUACCACAAUCACCUUUGGCUUCUGCACUUGGUUGUGGAAGAAUUUAA